UACGUAGGGUGCAAGCGUUAAUCGGAAUUACUGGGCGUAAAGCGUGCGCAGGCGGUUUUGUAAGUCUGUCGUGAAAGCCCCGGGCUCAACCUGGGAAUUGCGAUGGAGACUGCAAGGCUUGAAUCUGGCAGAGGGGGGUAGAAUUCCACGUGUAGCAGUGAAAUGCGUAGAGAUGUGGAGGAACACCGAUGGCGAAGGCAGCCCCCUGGGUCAAGACUGACGCUCAUGCACGAAAGCAUGGGGAGCAAACAGG
Molecule: ribosomal RNA, 253 nt
Filed under: uncultured bacterium
Lineage: Bacteria
Description: partial 16S ribosomal RNA
Rfam family: Bacterial small subunit ribosomal RNA
Source: RNAcentral